Molecule: long non-coding RNA, 39457 nt
Filed under: Triticum aestivum (bread wheat)
Lineage: Eukaryota; Viridiplantae; Streptophyta; Magnoliopsida; Poales; Poaceae
Description: long non-coding RNA (TAES_LNC012247)
Source: RNAcentral
UUGAUUAUCUGGUAAUAUCAUUGCACCUUGAUAUUUGUUGAUCCUCUGUUGAUCCUUGAAAGAGGGAUGUGUUUUCCUCAUAAUCCAUUUGUUGAUGGAAUCAGAGUAUUUUGGAGGAACUCAUGAAAAGCCAUGAGUGUAUUGUCUUUGACCGAUACUUCAGUGGUCCUAAUGUUGAUUCAAACACACAUCCAUCUAUAUUGGUGUCACGACGGCAAACUUAUUGUACCGGUCACGGUUCAGGUAUGGGACUGUCUGGGCUCUCCAUUAAGGUCGGAUCUUGUUCGGGAACGUGUCGGUGAUGGAUCCGUAGGAGCGACCGACAUAAGUAGGUACAGGUGUCCGGGUCUUAGUGGGUAAAAGAGCUCUGCUCUUCUGGAACCUGUGUGGUUCUAGUCGAGGCUGUCGACGUCGGAGUACCCCUCUUAAGAGCGUAAAAGUGUGAAAUUUCACCCCUGUGACUCCCGGGUUGGGAAGCUUGCGGUCAUGUGUGACGCCAAUAGAUUCCUUGCUAUUUUUACUAAAUCUGGUAUUUUGUUCUUUUGUCCAUUUACAUCAAAAUACGAUUCCAAUGGUUGUUACAUUGUUAUCCUUUGAAUUCAGUUCGUCUGUUGAUCUACACCAUCAUACCAUUGCUCCUUAUUGAGUAGUGAAGUAUUUGCUUGCUGAGUAUGAUUUAUCGUACUCACCCUUGUCUCCUCCGUCUUUUUAGAUGCAGCCGAUGUAACUUAAGUAUGCCCAGAAGAUGUCAUCCAAGAAUAGGCUGGACCAGUGGGUGGGAAACGACUAGAGAUUUUAAUGUAUUUUGUCUAUUUGUAUAUGUAAAGAAAUUUCUGUAGUCAAUAUAUAUGAGCUUUUGUGAUCCACUGAUGGUUAAUGCUUAAUUAAUCACGCCUUGCGUGACUAUAGUCCUCCUGGUCUAUAGGCGCGCGGCGGCUGUCUCGCCUAGGCCCGGUCUCGGGGCCAAUGCUCCUGCUGCUGCUCAGAGCACAACUCCGAGAGAGAAUUAGAUACGAGAGGGGAGAGCAUGAGAGAGAAAGAGGGUAAGAGAGAUGAAGAAUUCAUGCAUGCGCAUACAUGUUUGAAGUGCUAUGGAGAGAGGUGUCGAGGCAUUCGUCUAAAGAAGAAUAUUAGCAUAUGUAUGGUUCAUCAGAUUUUAUACGAUGGGGUAUUACUUGCUGGCCGAAUAUUAUUCUAGAGGAGAAGUCUUAUUUUCUGAGGCAAGUAGCUACUUUACUAACCCUCAAAUGCGUUAUGUUCCUUUGAUUAUCUGAUUGUAUUGUUGAACCUUGAUCUUUAUUGAUCCUCUCUUGAUCCUUGAGAGAGGGAUGUGUUGUCCUCGUAUUCCAUUUGUUGAUGGAAUCAGAGUAUUUUGGAGGUACUCGUGAGAAGUCAUACGCGUAUUGUCUUUGACUGAUAUUACAGUGAUUCUACCGUUGAUUCAAAAACAUAUCCUAUUUUGUAUUGGUGUCACAACGGCAAACGUAAUAUACCGGUCACAGUUCAGGUAUGGGACUGUCUGGGUUCUUCACUAAGGACGGACCUUGUUCGGGAACAUGUCGGUGAUGGAUCCGUAGGAGCGACCGACAUCAGUAGGUCCAGGUGUUUGGGUCUUAGUGGGUACAAGAGCUCUGCUCUUCUGGAACCUGUGUGGUUCUAGUCGAGACUGUCGACGUCGGAGUACCCCUCUUAAGAGCGUAAAAGUGUGAAAUUUCACCCCUGUGACUCCCGGGUUGGGAAGCUUGCGGUCACGUGUGAUGCCAAUACCUCCCUUGUUCGUCUUUGAUUAUACUAUUUAUUUUACACAUCUCCAGCAAAAUAUGUUCCAGUGAUUGUUACCUUGUUUAUCCUUUGGAUUCAGUUCGUUUGUUGAUCUACAACAUUUUACCAUUGCUUUUGUUGAAUAAUGAAGUAUCUGCUUGCUGAGUAUGAUUUAUCGUACUCACCCUUGUCUCCUCCGUCUUUUUAGAUGCAGCCGAUGUAACUUAAGUAUGCCCAGAAGAUGUCAUCCAAUAUUAGGUUGGACCAGUGGGUAGGAAGUGACUAGAGAAUUUAAUGUAGUUUGCCUAUUUGUAAAUGUAAAGAAAUUUGUAAACCAAAUAUAUGAGAUUUUGUGAUCCACUGCUGGUUUAUGCCUGCUUUAUCAUGCCUUGCGUGACAAUAGGCCUCUGGUCUAUAGGCGCGCGGCGGCUGUCUCGCCUAGGCCCGGUCUCGGGGCAUGACAGUUAAAGUGAUAUCAGAGCUCUAGGUUUUUAGGUUGCACUGGGAUAAAGGGGUAGAUCGUCGAAUAUAUUUGUGUUGUGUGACAGCUAUGAAGAUUUUAUUUUCAUAUCUUGUCUCAACUAGUUUGUGUGUUGGUACUCAUGAAUAGUUUCAACAGAUAUCCAGGCAAAUAAAAAGAAUAGUGUACACAUUAUUGAUGAAAUUUGAGGAUGCAUGGAAAUAAAUAGACAUCUUGUUAGAUUAAUACAUGACUUAAUAUUUGUGUAGAUUUUCUUGUUUAAGACAACCGGUAAUAAUGUUCUAGUAAUGGGACAAUUGCUAUACCACUAUCUAUCCUUUUUGUUAAUGAAUUUACCAAAUAAAAUGUUUAGUGUUGCCAACUUAUGUUAUAGCAGAUAUAUCCAUGAAUUGUAGAAAGAUUGCAAAUCUUUUUUGCAUUAUUUUUAAUUAAUUAUUGAGCAUGCAUCAAAUAAACUGUUCCAAAUAUGAUGGGAUGGAAUUUGAUCACUAAAAAAACAUAGAUGUUAGUGUUGAAUUUCGGGGACGAAAUUCUUAUAAGGUGGGAAGGAUGUAAUAACCCAUAUUUUUGGGUUAUUGAUUUAAGUUAAGAUAAGUAAAUUUUUAUUAUUUUGUUAACAUAAAUAAUUGAGCGAAGAAGACAUGCUAGAUUAUUGUUGCAAGUAAUUAAAUAGAACUGUAAUUUUUGCAUGCGUAAAAUAUUAGAUGGAAAUGGACCAGGUACAAAUGAUAGAUUGGUAGAUAUUUCCAAGUACUAGAAUUCCAAGUCAACUAGGUGCAUGCAUGUCAUGAUGAGAAUGCACACGUAUGUACUGUUCUUGCUAGCUAAGUAAAAAAUCUAUGUGUACGUGGAGGUUGGCGUGGCAUGCAUGUAGUCUCUUGGACAUUCUAGUCCUAUACGUGGGCUCUUCCUAUGGUGCCAGGUUUGAUUAGGCCUUUGCACUAGAUGUAGGGGCAGCAGCCAAAUCAUUUUUUACCUAGCUUCAAGGGCCAAGGGUCAAGCGGCAAGAGUCACUGCGGCUGAGAUAUUUUAGCUAGUGACCGACUGUCAGCUCCUAUAAAUAGAACGCUCCUGCUGCUGCUCAAAGCACAACUCCGAGAGAGAAUUAGAUACUAGAGGGGAGAGUAUGAGAGAGAAAGAGGGUAAGAGAGAUAAAGAAUGCAUGCAUGCGCAUACAUGUUUGAAGUGCUAUGGAGAGAGGUGUCGAGCCAUCUGUCUAAAAAAGAAUAUUAGCAUAUGUAUGGUUCAUCAGAUUUUUAUACGACGGGGUAUUACUUGCUGGCCGAAUAUUAUUCUAGAGGAGAAGUCUUAUUUUCUGAGGCAAGUAGCUACUUUACUAACUCUCAAAUCCGUUAUCUUCCUUUGAUUAUCUGAUUGUAUUGUUGCACCUUGAUCCUUAUUGAUCCUCUCUUGAUCCUUGAGAGAGGGAUGUGUUGUCCUCGUAUUCCAUUUGUUGAUGGAAUCAGAGUAUUUUGGAGGAACUCGUGAGAAGUCAUACGCGUAUUGUCUUUGAUUGAUAUUACUGUGAUUCUACUGUUGAUUCAAACACAUAUCCUAUUUUGUAUUGGUGUCACGACGGCAAACAUAUUGUACCGAUCACAUUUCAGUUAUGGGACUGUCUGAGUUCUCCGCUAAGGACGGACCUUGUUCAGGAACGUGUCGAUGAUGGAUCCGUAGGAGCGAUCGACAUCAGUAGGUCCAGGUGUUCGGGUCUUAGUGGGUACAAGAGCUCUGCUCUUCUGGAACCUGUGUGGUUCUAGUCGAGACUGUCGACGUCGGAGUACCCCUCUUAAGAGCGUAAAAGUGUGAAAUUUCACCCCUGUGACUCCCGGGUUGGAAAGCUUGCGGUCAUGUUUGAUGCCAAUAAUUUCCUUGUUCAUUUCGUCUGUUGAUCUACACCAUCAUACCAUCGCUCCUUGUUGAAUAGUGAAGUAUCUGCUUGCUGAGUAUGAUUUGUCGUACUCACCCUUGCUUCCUUAUUUUUUUUAGAUGCGAACGAUGUAACUUAAGUAUGUUCAGAAGAUGUCUUCAUCCAAGACUAGGCUUGACCAGCGGGUGGGAAGCGACUAGAGAAUAUGAUGUCUUUACUCAACUAUUUGUAGAUGUCAAGGAAUUUGUAUAGCAAAUAUAUUAGCUUUUGUGAUCCACUUCUGGUCUAUGCCUGCUUUAUCAUGCCUUGCGUGACUAUAGGCCUCUGGUCUAUAGGCUCGCGGCGGCUGUCUCGCCUAGGCCCGGUCUCGGGGCAUGACAAUUAAAGUGCAUAUUUUGUAGAACGUAAUGUAUCGGUCAAAGUUCAGGUAUGGGACUGUCUGAGUUCUCCGCUAAGGACGGACCUUGUUCAGGAACGUGUCGGUGAUGGAUCCGUAGGAGCGAUCGACAUCAGUAGGUCCAGGUGCAACAAUAAAAUCAGAUAAUCAAAGGAAGAUAACGGAUUUGAGAGUUAGUAAAGUAGCUACUUGCCUCAGAAAAUAAGACUUCUCCUCUAGAAUAAUAUUCGGCCAGCAAGUAAUACCCCAUCGUAUAAAAAUCUGAUGAACCAUACAUAUGCUAAUAUUCUUCUUUAGACAGAUGGCUCGACACCUCUCUCCAUAGCACUUCAAACAUAUAUGCGCAUGCAUGAAUUCUUCAUCUCUCUUACCCUCUUUCUCUCUCAUACUCUCCUCUCUAGUAUCUAAUUCUCUCUCGGAGUUGUGCUUUGAGCAGCAGCAGGAGCGUUCUAUUUAUAGGAGCUGACAGCCGGUCACUAGCUAAAAUAUCUCAGCCGCAGUGACUCUUGCCGCUUGACCCUUGGCCCUUGAAGCUAGGUAAAAAAUGAUUUGGCUGCUGCCCCUACAGCUAGUGCAAAGGCCUAAUCAAACCUGGCACCAUAGGAAGAGCCCACGUAUAAGACUAGAAUGUCCAAGAGACUACAUGCAUGCCACGCCAACCUCCACGUACACAUAGGUUUUUACUUAGCUAGCAAGAACAGUACAUACAUGUGCAUUCUCAUCAUGACAUGCAUGCACCUAGUUGACUUGGAAUUCUAGUACUCGGAAAUAUCUACCAAUCUAUCAUUUGUACCUGGUCCAUUUCCAUCUAAUAUUUUACGCAUGCAAAAAUUACAGUUCUAUUUAAUUACUUGCAACAAUAAUCUAGCAUGUCUUCUUCGUUCAAUUAUUUAUGUUAACAAAAUAAUAAAUUUACUUAUCUUAAUUUAAAUCAAUAACCUAAAAAUAUGGGUUAUUACAUCCUUCCCACCUUAUAAGAAUUUCGUCCCCAAAAUUAAACACUAACAUCUAUGCUAUUUUUUUUAGUGAUCAAAUUCCCUCCCAUCAUAUUUGGAACAAUUUAUUUGAUGCAUGCUCAAUAAUUAAUUAUAAAAUAAUGCAAAAAAGAUUUGCAAUCUUUCUACAAUUCAUGGAUAUAUCUGCUAUAACAUAAGUUGGCAACACUAAACAUUUUAUUUGGUAAAUUCAUUAACAAAAAGGAUAGAUAGUGGUAUAGCAAUUGUCCCAUUACUAGAACAUUAUUACCGGUUGUCUUAAACAAGAAAAUCUACACAAAUAUUAAGUCAUGUAUUAAUCUAACAAGAUGUCUAUUUAUUUCCCAUGCAUCCUCAAAUUUCAUCAAUAAUGUGUACACUAUAUUUUUUAUUUGCCUGGAUAUCUGGUGAAACUAUUCAUGAGCACCAACACACAAACUAGUUGAGACAAGAUAUGAAAAUAAAAUCUUCAUAGCUGUCACACAACACAAAUAUAUUCGACGAUCUACCCCUUUAUCCCAGCGCAACCUAAAAACCUAGAGCUCUGGUAAACAGUUCCAUCUAGAGUCCAUUGCUUUUGUUGAAUAAUGAAGUAUCUGCUUGCUGAGUAUGAUUUAUCGUACUCACCCUUGUCUCCUCCGUCUUUUUAGAUGCAGCCGAUGUAACUUAAGUAUGCCCAGAACAUGUCAUCCAAGAUUAGGCUGGACCAGUGGGUAGGAAGCGACUAGAGAAUUUAAUGUAGUUUGCCUAUUAGUAAAUGUAAAGAAAUUUGUAAACCAAAUAUAUGAGAUUUUGUGAUCCACUGCUGGUUUACAAUGUAACAACCAUAGAAAUAACAAACAAGGAAACGAACUGAUAACCCUCCUUCUGCACACAUAUACUCAUAUUUUAGUUUAAGAAUUCAUGCAUGCAUCCACAUUUGAAGAAGAAUAGAGCGUUUAGGUGCUGCUGGAGGGAAGAGCCAAGCCAUACAUCAGAAGAAAUAUGAGUAUAUGUGUGUUCGUCAGAUUUUAUACAAAGAUGAUGGAGUUUCAUCUUCUUGCAAAAUAUUAUUCUAAAGAAGAAAUCAUAUUAUCUGAGGCAAGUAGCUGCUUUGCCUAACUCCCCGAUCUCGCUUUAUUGUUGUCUUCUUUGGUUAUCGGUUAAUAUUGUUGCACCUUGAUCCUUAUUGAUCCUCUCUUGAUCCUUGAGAGAGGGAUGUGUUGUCCUCGUAUUCCAUUUGUUGAUGGAAUCAGAGUAUUUUGGAGGAACUCGUGAGAAGUCAUACGCGUAUUGUCUUUGACUGAUAUUACAGUGAUUCUACCAUUGAUUCAAACACAUAUCCUAUUUUGUAUUGGUGUCACGACGGCAAACAUAUUGUACCGGUCACAGUUCAGUUAUGGGACUGUCUGAGUUCUCCUCUAAGGACGGACCUUGUUCAGGAACGUGUCGGCGAUGGAUCCGUAGGAGCGAUCGACAUCAGUAGGUCCAGGUGUUUGGGUCUUAGUGGGUACAAGAGCUCUGCUCUUCUGGAACCUGUGUGGUUCUAGUCGAGACUGUCGACGUCGGAAUACCCCUCUUAAGAGUGUAAAAGUGUGAAAUUUCACCCCUGUGACUCCCGGGUUGGGAAGCUUGCGGUCAUGUGUCAUGCCAAUAAUUUCCUUGUUCAUUUCGUCUAUUGAUCUACACCAUCAUACCAUCGCUCCUUGUUGAAUAGUGAAGUAUCUGCUUGCUGAGUAUGAUUUGUCGUACUCACCCUUGCUUCCUCUGUUUUUUUAGAUGCGAACGAGGUAACUUAAGUAUGUUCAGAAGAUGUCUUCAUCCAAGACUAGGCUUGACCAGCGGGUGGGAAGUGACUAGAGAAUAUGAUGUCUUUACUCAACUAUUUGUAGAUGUCAAGGAAUUUGUAUAGUAAAUAUGUUAGCUUUUGUGAUCCACUUCUGGUUUAUGCCUGCUUUAUCAUGCCUUGCGUGACUAUAGGCCUCUGGUCUAUAGGCUUGCGGCGGCUGUCUCGCCUAGGGCCGGUCUCGGGGCGUGACAGUUAAAGUGGUAUCAGAGCUCUAGCUUUUUAGGUUGCGCUGCGAUAAACGGGUAGAUCGCCGAAUAUAUUUGUGUUGUGUGACAGGUAUGAAAAUUUUAUUCUCAUAUCUUGUCUCAACUAGUUUGUGUGUUGUUACUCACGAAUAUUGUCGACAGAUAUCCAUGCAAGUAAAUAAUAUAGCAUACAUAUUAUUGGUGAAAUUUGAGGAUGAAUGGGAAAUAAAUACACAUCUUGUUAGAUUAAUACAUGACUUGUUAUUUGUGUAGGUUUUCUUGUUUAAGACAACCGGUGAUAUUGUUCUACUAAUGGGACAAUUGCUAUACCACUAUCUAUCCUUUUUGUUAAUGAAUUUACCAAAUAAAAUGUUUAGUGUUGCCAACUUAUGUUAUAGCAGAUAUAUCCAUGAAUUGUAGAAAGAUUGCAAAACCUUUUUUGCAUUAUUUUUAAUUAAUUAUUGAGCAUGCAUCAAACAAACUGUUCCAAAUAUGAUGGGAGGGAAUUUGAUCACUAAAAAAAACAUAGAUGUUAGUGUUGAAUUUCGGGGACAAAAUUCUUAUAAGGUGGGUAGGAUGUAAUAACCCAUAUUUUUGGGUUAUUGAUUUAAAUUAAGAUAAGUAAUUAAAUUUGUAUUAUCUGCUAAGUUAUGCUAAAUUCUUGAUUCAAAGAAUUAAGAUAGAGCUGUAAAUUUUUGCGUUUGUCAAAAUUAUUGUUCAUGAGUAUAUUUGUUGAAACAAUAAUUAGUAACAAUAAUGAUGUCCUAUUAGCAUACCAGCCGCAUAUAGAGCGGGCCCUGUCUACCUAGAAAGGUACUACUAACUCUAGUGCAGAAGGAGCAGCAACACCACAUAGAGAUGACACAACUAAACCAGUAUCAUGAGGCUUGCCGGCAGCAUGAGUUGGAGUAUCUUGAGCAAGAACAUGAUGACUGUGUUUAUGAGAUCAAGCAUGACCUCAAUCUCCAGAUAGAGGACAGGGAUCGUUGGCUCGAAAUAGAAGAACGCAAGAGUAAGAAACUGAAGCUGGAGCGUGAUCAGUUGGAGGAGUUGACCAACAAGCAGGAGAGCAAAAUCAUGGAGCUAAUGACAGAGAACAGAAGCCUCCGUGAGAAGCUGGCGGAAAAGCUACGGGCUGGCGGAAAAGCUACAGGCGCAUGAAUAGGAUGCGAACAGUGGCACUUGGAGAUGUGAAGCAAUUGUUCCUAGCUUAUAAAUAAAUGGUUGUAGUAGUAUUGUUUGUAUAUAACCUGCUAGGAACUGUUCUGGUAGUAGCCUUUUGACUAGCUAGCACUAGCUUUUGUUGACAACUCUAGUAGUAUGGGUGUCUAUAGUAGAGUGGUUGAAGGGAAACGUGGAUGGCAGCAACACAUCUAGUAGACAUGAUGUGUAAUUUUGAUUGUACUACUGCUUUCCUCUUUAUUAAUCAGCUACCUGGUAUAUAUGUAUAUGAUGCAUGCUCUAAUGUUGACAGCUUUAUUUAUUUCUUCCUCUAGUAUUAUAGAUGGCUAGUCACAAUGGAGAUUUCUCAGCAUCACACUCCGGCGAUGGCCGGAAUGCACUAGCAGCUGCAGCAGAGCAACCACUUCCAAAUGAGUUGCUUAUAAAUAUUUUGCAACGUCAAGAACAAACCCAAAUGAAGCAGACUGAAAUUCUGGAAUAUAUAGUACAACAGUCAACUAAAGGAAAGGAGUCGUUCGAUGGAGACAAACAGGGCGCAUUACGUGAGUUUCGUCGACUUAAGCCUCCUGUUUUCCAAGGUAGUGCAAACCCAAUUGAGGCCGAGGACUGGCUAACAGAAAUAGAGAAAAGUUUUGAUGCCAUGCAUUGCCCUGAUGAAGAGAAAGUUACAUUAGCCACGUUUACGCUUCAAGGUGGGGCAUUUGAUUGGUGGACAGUGCAUAAAAAGAAGUAUCCCGAGGGCUAUCUAUUCACAUGGGAAUCAUUUAAGGAAGAGUUCUACAGAAAGUAUUUUCCGGAGAGCGUACAAAGGAAAAUGGAGCUAUCAUUUUUACAGUUAAAACAUGACCAGAAAUCUGUCGUAGAAUAUGAAAUAGAAUUUUCUAGACUUGCUCGUUAUGCCUCUGUUUAUGUCCAAAAUGAUGAAGCUAAAGCUCGGCAUUUCGCGCAAGGACUUCGCCAACCAAUGAAGUCUCGAGUGGAGGUGUUCGAGCUCAAAUCCUUUCGAGAUGUUGCUAACAAGGCAUUAAUUGUAGAACAAGCAUAUGUGGAAGAGCAAGAUGAAGUGGAGCAGUAGCGUAAGAGGAUCAAGGUUGACCAUGGAAAUCAAGGGAAUAUACAGAAAAAGAUGCAGUAGAAUUGGCGUCCGAACAACCGCCCAGUAACCCAGCCUAGACGAAAUAACUGUGUUAUUUGUCAUGGGAAUCACACAGCAUUUUAGUGCGAGUAUCGUCAUGGGAAAUGUUUUAGGUGCGGCAGAGAAGGACACAUGAUCAGUCAGUGCCACAGUUCACCGGAUCAGAAUAUGUCAAAAUCCAUUGCACCAAAGCCGUUGCCAGCACCAAAGCUCCAUUAUACUUACCUGCACCCCCUACUAACUCAAGUGGAACCUCCCAGCGCAUGAAUAGUUAUUCUGGAAGCAGGAAGCAGACAAAUUCACGUGCAAAGGUGAAUCAUUUGACCCAGCAUGAUGCAGAUGAGGAAAACAAUGUGAUUACAGGUACACUUCAAGUAUGCUCACACAAUGCAUUCACUUUAUUUGAUACCGGUGCUACACAUUCAUUUAUAUCCUCAAAAUUCAUCGAUAGUCAUGGAUUAGAAAGUACCCCUUUAAGGAAAAGGAUACAUGUGGAAUCCCCGAUGACAGAAGUAAUAGCCAAGAACAUUUGUGUUGCAUAUCCUAUAGUAAUAAAAGGGCAAGAAUUUUUGGUUGAUUUAAUAGUACUAGAUAUGCAUGAUUUUGAUAUUAUACUGGGCAUGGAUUGGCUGGCUAAGAAUCAAGCCAACAUAGACUGUCAGAGAAAACGAGUGAUAAUUCAGGUACCUAGUCAGCGUAAACUCAUUUAUCAAGCGAAGCAUAAAACUUUUGACUGCUCGUUUAGCAUGAAUUUAGAACUGAAAGAAAAGGAUAUCAAAGAAAUACCAGUCGUAAGAAAUUUUCCUGAUGUUUUUCCAAGUGAAUUACCUGGAUUACCACCGGACCGAGAAAUUGAAUUUAGUAUAGACUUGACUCCUGGUACGGCUCCUAUCUCAAAGAGUCCGUACAGAAUGUCACCUGCUGAACUAAAGGAGUUGAAGAGGCAGAUUAAGGAGCUAGAAGAAAAACAAUUCAUUCGACCUAGCAUGUCACCAUGGGGCGCUCCGGUGUUGUUUGUGAAAAAGAAGGACGGCAGUUGGCGACUUUGUGUGGAUUAUCGGGAGCUAAACAAGGUAACUAUUAAGAACCAAUAUCCAUUACCAAGAAUUGAUGAUUUGUUCGAUCAAUUACAAGGGUGUCGAGUAUUUUCAAAGAUUGAUUUGCAGUCGGGAUAUCAUCAGUUAAAAAUAAAGGAUGGAGAUAUUUCAAAAACAGCGUUCCGCACAAGAUAUGGGAAUUAUGAGUACGUUGUUAUGCCAUUCGGAUUAACAAAUGCCCCCGCGGCCUUCAUGGAUUUGAUGAACCGAGUGUUCAGACCAUUUUUGGAUCAGUUCGUAGUUGUAUUUAUUGAUGAUAUUUUGAUUUAUUCAAAGACAGAAGAAGAACAUGCUCAACACCUAGAAAUAGUUCUUCAGAUAUUAAGGAAGCAUAAAUUAUAUGCAAAAUUGAAGAAAUGUGAUUUCUGGUUAAAUAAGGUGUCUUUUCUAGGACACAUUAUUUCAGGGGAAGGAAUAUCACCAGAUCCAACAAAAAUUCAAGCAAUAGUAGAUUGGAAGAGGCCAACCACCGUUACAGAAAUAAUAAGUUUCUUGGGAUUAGCAGGUUAUUACCGAAGAUUUAUUGAAGGCUUUGCACAGCUAGCAGCACCAUUGACACAGCUCACUCGAAAAGGGACAAAAUUUAUUUGGGAUGAAAAAUGUGAAGAAAACUUCCAAGAACUAAAGCAGCGAUUGGUGACGGCCCUUGUUCUAGCAGUGCCAAUAAGUGGAAUUGGAUUUACUAUAUUCUGUGAUGCUUCAAAAAUAGGCUUGGGUUGUGUGCUUAUGCAAAACAAUAAGGUAAUUGCUUAUGCUUCUCGACAGCUAAAGACACAUGAGAAAAAUUAUCCGACUCAUGAUUUGGAAUUGGGUGCUGUCAUCUUUGCAUUAAAAAUAUGGAGGCAUUAUUUGUAUGGAGAACGAUGUGAAAUUUAUACAGAUCAUAAGAGCCUGAAAUACAUAUUCACCCAAAAGGAAUUAAACAUGCGACAACCAAGGUGGCUAGAGCUACUUAAGGAUUAUGAUAUCAACAUAAAUUACCAUCCAGGUAAAGCUAACGUCGUGGCCGAUGCGCUUAGUAGAAAGACUGUUUGCAACAUGGCAUGUCUAAUUACUACACAAAGAGACAUUUUGAGGGACAUGGAGAAAUUGGGUAUAGAAGUAUAUGUACGUGAUUCAACUAGCACUGUUAUGGCAUUACAAGUCAAGCCUGAUCUGCAAGACAAAAUCCGGAUGAAACAAAUGGACGACCCAUUUCUUUUGAACGUCCGAAAGGGGAUAGAACAAGGGAAGCCAUCGGAGUUUCAUAUAAAAAGUGAUGGGUCAGUAUGGCUGAGGAACCGCUUAUGUGUCCCUAACCAGCCAGAUUUAAAGUUGGAAAUUAUGCAAGAGGCACACUCCACACCAUACACCGUGCACCCAGGGAGCAAAAAGAUGUAUCAUGACAUUAAAGGGAAUUUUUGGUGGCCCAACAUGAAGAGAUAAAUAGCAAAAUUUGUUUUAGAAUGUCCAAUAUGUCAGCAGGUAAAGGUAGACCAUCAAAAACCAGCCGGUCUUCUACAACCUUUAAAAAUCCCGACAUGGAAAUGGGAAGAAAUUAGUAUGGAUUUUUUCACGGGUGUACCUCAAACUUCUGCAGGAUAGGAUGCUAUAUGGGUCAUAGUAGACAGAUUGACCAAAGUGGCACAAUUUAUCCCAGUAAAGAAAACAUUUUCUCUUGAAAAAUUAGCUAAAUUAUACAUCAAGGAGAUAGUUGCUAAUUAUGGAGUUCCUGUCGACAUUACAUCUGAUCGAGAUCCGAGGUUUGUCUCAAGAUUUUGGAAAAUCUUACAUAAAGCAUUGGGAACAAAGUUAAAUUUUAGUACGGCGUAUCAUCCUCAAUCCGAUGGACAGUCAGAACGAGUUAUACAAAUAUUGGAGGAUAUGUUGCGAGCAAGUGUGUUAGACUUCAAGGAAAAAUGGGAUGAAUCACUUCCUCUGGUUAAAUUCGCAUACAAUAAUAGUUAUCAGUCAAGUAUUAAAAUGGCCCCUUAUGAAGCGUUAUAUGGCAAGAGGUGUCGCUCUCCAAUCUGCUGGGAAGAAAAUGGAGAAAGGAAAUAUCUAGGCCUAGAUUUAGUUCAACAUGCCGAGGAAAAAUUACGAAUUAUUUGUGAGCACCUAAAGGCAGUACAAAGUCGACAAAAGACUCAAGCAGAUAAAAAGCGCAGAGAAGUUGAGUUUAAGGCAGGAGAUUUUGUCUAUUUGAAAGUUUCUCCAAAGAAAGGGACAAGACGUUUUGGCCUACAUGGAAAAUUAAGUCCAAGAUAUGUCGGGCCAUUUCAAAUCAUUAAUAAAGUUGGAGCUGUCGCUUAUCGUCUGGAAUUACCCCCAAAUUUAUUAGGGAUACACAACGUGUUCCAUGUAUCCACUUUAAAGAAGUGUGAAUUCCCACCAAAAACAGUAGAAUUACCACUCACGGAGCUGCAGCCGGAUCUAUCCUAUGAAGAGCACCCAAUAAAGAUUUUGGAUGUAAAAUAUAGGGUAAUGAGAAAAAGGACCAUUCGGUUUGUAAAAGUUCAAUGGAGCAACCAUACAGAGGAGGAGGCGACUUGGGAAAAAUAAGAUGAUCUACACGCAUGUUUUCCGCAUCUCCAGUUUAUUGGUAAUUAAAUUUUGAGGACGAAAUUUCUAUAAAUAGGGGAGGAUGUAAUACCCGUGUUUAUUAGCAUAAAUAAGAUGUUUUAUUUGGUAAGUUAACAAAUUAGCAAAAUAUUGGAGUAGUAAUAAUCAGCUUAAUUAGACAAAUAAAUCAUUGGCAAUCAUUGGUUAGUACUAAGUAAGAGUAGUCAACUUGAAAGGAUAUGCAUUACAAGAACAUGCUUGUAGAACCUUCGGGUAGGAGGGCCAUGUGCGGGUGUGGUACAAGAUAUUUAGUAGCUCAAGUUUGCAUUUAUCUGUAGCAUUUAAUGCUCUAUUGAGUCAGCUAGGCAUGUGUAGUGUGAAAGUACAAACUGCUGUAAAACUAGGGACACCGAGGCUGCUGAGUUACACUUAUCCAGCUCCAUUUCCUACCCUACCAUGCCUAUAAAUAGAGGAGCAAGAGCACACUGUAGUAUUCAUCCCAACAUACAAACCAGUUCAGUAACUAGCAUUGCAUGGAGUAGAAUCACACUGACCGGCAAGAGCGCUCGGAGGAAGCAGCGAGUCAGGCAAGCAUGCAUUCCAUCUAGCCUUUCUAGCUGUCCUAUUCCUUGUUUGUCUCACUGUUCAUGCCAUGCUCUAUAGCUAGUAGUACUUCUGAAGCUCUAUAAUGUGCACUGUUCAUUUGAUUCCUGUACAUCUCUUGAAGCUAGCAUGCAUACCACAAUACUACCUUUUGGUUUAUGAUCACGAUGGAGAAAUCCUUAGUACAUGCAUGUGAGCAAAUGGAUUAAUGGCUCAUGCAUGGAUGGUUGGUUCUGUGAAAAGCCUAGUGAUAUUUAUUUUGGUCUUGCAUGUACUUCCUCUUGCUAAUCCUUGUCUAGUAAAUUUUAUAAAAUCUAGUAUCACGACGGCAAACGUAUUGUACCGGUCACAGUUCAGGUAUGGGACUGUCUGAGUUCUCCGCUAAGAACGCCACUCGUUCGGAAGCGUGUCGAUGAUGGAUCCAUAGGAGCGAUCGACACUAGUAAGUCGAGUGGGCGGUUCUUGGGGGAAUAGAGAGCUCUGCUCUACUAGCGCCUGUGUGGUUCUAGUCGAGGCUGCUGACGUCGGAGUACCCCUCUUAAGAGCGUAAAAGUGUGAAAUUUCACCCCUGUGACUCCCGGGUUGGGAAGCUUGCGGUCAUGUGUGAUGUCAGUUAUUUCUUUCCUUUUCUUUAAAUUAAUCUCCAUUAUCUUCCUCUGCCAACAAACUCUUUCUUUACAACUAACCCCUGUGUUCUGUCACUAUUUGCUGAGAGAAGUUCCUGUGUACCCGUGUGCUUGCUGAGUAUGAGAUCAUACUCAUUCUUGCUAUUGUUGUUGAUUUUGUAGAAGUAGCAAAUGAUGGAUGUGCUGAUGAGAAUGAGGAACAGUUGGAGUAGCUCUACGGGUUGGGAAUAAAUAAAGAAGUUGCAUGUAUCAUAACCUUUGUAAUAGCUAGUAAUGAAUAAAGUUGGCUCUUGUGCAUACUGGAAAAUAAUAUGUUUACUAGCCUAACAUGCUUAUAAAUUGGAGAUUUAUAAGCAUGUGGCGAUUGUCACUGCUAAGACUCACUUGGGGCGUGACAAUUUUAUUGGUAUCAGAGCUCUUGUACCCGCUAAGACACGAACACCUGGACCUACUGAACAUGGCUCUGAUACCACUUUAACUGUCACGCCCCGAGACCGGGCCUAGGCGAGACAGCCGCCACGAGCCUAUAGACCAGAGGCCUAUAGUCACACAAGGCAUGAUAAAGCAGGCAUAAACCAGAAGUGGAUCACAAAAGCUAAUAUAUUUACUAUAAAAAUUCCUUAACAUCUACAAAUAGUUGAGUAAAGACAUCAUAUUCUCUAGUCGCUUCCCACCCGCUGGUCAAGCCUAGUCUUGGAUGAAGACAUCUUCUGAACAUACUUAAGUUGAACAUACUUAAGUUACCUCGUUCGCAUCUAAAAAAACAGAGGAAGCAAGGGUGAGUACGACAAAUCAUACUCAGCAAGCAGAUACUUCACUAUUCAACAAGGAGCAAUGGUAUGAUGGUGUAGAUCAACAUACGAAAUGAACAAGGAAAUUAUUGGCAUCACACAUGACUGCAAGCUUCCCAACCUGGGAGUCACAGGGGUGAAAUUUCACACUUUUACGCUCUUAAGAGGGGUACUCCGACGUCAGCAGCCUCGACUAGAACCACACACUUUAACUGUCACGCCCCGAGACCGGGCCUAGGCGAGACAGCCGCCGCGCGCCUAUAGACCAGAGGCCUAUAGUCACGCAAGGCAUGAUAAAGCAGGCAUAAACCAGCAGUGGAUCACAAAAUCUCAUAUAUUUGGUUUACAAAUUUCUUUACAUUUACAAAUAGGCAAACUACAUUAAAUUCUCUAGUCGCUUCCUACCCACUGGUCCAGCCUAAUCUUCGAUGACAUCUUCUGGGCAUACUUAAGUUACAUUGGCUGCAUCUAAAAAGACGAAGGAGACAAGGGUGAGUACGAUAAAUCAUACUCAACAAGCAUAUACUUCAUUAUUCAACAAAAGCAAUGGUAAAAUGAUGUAGAUCAACAAACGAACUGAAUCCAAAGGAUAAACAAGGUAACAAUCACUGGAACAUAUUUUGCUGGAGAUGUGUAAAAUAAAUAGUAUAAUCAAAGACGAACAAGGGAGGUAUUGGCGUCACACGUGACCGCAAGCUUCCCAACCCGGGAGUCACAGGGGUGAAAUUUCACACUUUUACGCUCUUAAGAGGGGUACUCCGACGUCGACAGUCUCGACUAGAACCACACAGGUUCCAGAAGAGCAGAGCUCUCUAUUCCCCCAAGAACCACCCACUCGACUUACUAGUGUCGAUCGCUCCUACGGAUCCAUCAUCGACACGCUUCCGAACGAGUGGCGUUCUUAGCGGAGAACUCAGACAAUCCCAUACCUGAACUGUGACCGGUACAAUACGUUUGCCGUCGUGAUACCAGAUUUUAUAAAAUUUACUAGACAAGGAUUAGCAAGAGGAAGUACAUGCAAGACAAAAAUAAAUAUCACUAGGCUUUUCACAGAACCAACCAUCCAUGCAUGAGCCAUUAAUCCAUGUGCUCACAUGCAUGUACCAAGGAUUUCUCCACCGUGAUCAUAAACCAAAAGGUAGUACUGUGGUAUGCAUGCUAGCUUCAAGAGAUGUACAGGAAUCAAAUGAACAGUGCACAUUAUAGAGCUUCAGAAGUACUACUAGCUAUAGAGCAUGGCAUGAACAGUGAGACAAACAAGGAAUAGGACAGCUAGAAAGGCUAGAUGGAACGCAUGCUUGCCUGACUCGCUACUUCCUCCGAGCGCUCUUGCAGUCAUGUGUGAUGCCAGUUAUUUCUUUCCUUUUCUUUAAAUUAAUCUCCAUUACCUUCCUCUGCCAACAAACUCUUUCUUUACAACUAACCCCUUGUGUUCUGUCACUAUUUGCUGAGAGAAGUUCCUGUGUACCCGUGUGCUUGCUGAGUAUGAGAUCAUACUCAUUUUUGCUAUUGUCGUUGAUUUUGCAGAAGUAGCAAAUGAUGGAUGUGCUGAUGAGAAUGAUGAACAGUAGGAGUAGCUCUACGGGUUGGGAAUAAAUAAAGAAGUUGCAUGUAUCAUAACCUUUGUAAUAGCUAGUAAUGAAUAAAGUUGGCUCUUGUGCAUACUGGAAAAUAAUUUGUUUACUAGCCUAACAUGCUUAUAAAUUUGAGAUUUAUAAGCAUGUGGUGAUUGUCACGGCCGCCUAUAGACCAGAGGCCUAUAGUCACGCAAGGCAUGAUAAAACAGGCAUAAACCAACAGUGGAUCACAAAAUCUCAUAUAUUUGGUUUACAAAUUUCUUUACAUUUACAAAUAGGCAAACUACAUUAAAUUCUCUAGUCGCUUCCUACCCACUGGUCCAGCCUAAUCUUGGAUGACAUCUUCUAGGCAUACUUAAGUUACAUCGGCUGCAUCUAAAAAGACGGAGGAGACAAGGGUGAGUACGAUAAAUCAUACUCAGCAAGCAGAUACUUCACUAAAAUUGUCACGCCUCAAGUGAGUCUUAGCCGUGACAAUCGCCACAUGCUUAUAAAUUUUGAUUUAUAAGCAUGUGGCGAUUGUCACGGCUAAGACUCACUUGGGGCGUGACAGCCCCUGCCUGGAUCAAGUCUGUGAUGAGGUGUGUGACAAAUGUUUGUUAUGCUGUCAGAGUUAACGAGGAACUUACUGAUCCGGUGGUACCUUCUCGGGGUAUUCGCCAGGGGGACCCGAUCAGCCCCUACAUGUUCCUCUUAUGCACUAAAGGUCUAUCUAGUCUGCUUUUUCAGAAGGAGUGUCGUGGCGAGCUACAUGGGAUCAGAAACUGCCGUCAAGGUCCACCUAUCUCACACCUCCUAUUCGCGGACGAUAGCAUUUUCUUUGCAAGGAGCGAUCACCGUAGUGUGGCCUCGCUGGCAUCGGUUUUACACACAUUUGUGAGGGCUCUGCCCAAUCUAUCAACAAGGAGAAAUCUUCAAUCUUCUUUGGAAAUCACUGUCCGGAUAGUGUCAAGAAUAGGGUUAAGUCUCAGCUUGGAGUCUAUAAUGAGGACUUUCAUGGAUCUUAUCUUGGGAUGCCCACGGAGGUUGGAAAAUCUCCUACUAGCACUUUCAAAAUUUUGACUGACAGAGCAUGGCAGAAUAUUUUUGGAUGAUGCGACCGACCUUUAUCUAGGGCUGGAAAUGAAACACUGCUAAAAUCAAUUACACAUGCCAUCCCAACAUUUGUCUCCAGCUGCUUUCGCCUUCCUGUCGCAACGUGUGAGAAGUUUUGCCAAAUUGUGGCCGAUCAAUGGUGGGGUCGAGAGGAUGGAAAGAGGAAGCUACACUGGAGGUCUUGGGCUUGGCUCUCGACCCCAAAGUCGCUUGGUGGUAUGGGUUUUCGGGAUAUGGUGUUGUUCAAUCAGGCAAUGCUUGGUAAGCAGAGAUGGCGGCUCUUCACUUAACCUGAUUCGCUUUGUGCUCGUGUUCUGAAGGGCAGAUACUUUCCGACAGGGGACUUUUGGAACACCACGAUGCCACGAACUGCCUCGGCGACCUGGCGUGGUAUCCUAAAUGGCCGGGACUUUCUCAAACAAGGGGUUCAGUGGGGCAUUGGUGAUGGUAGGAACAUACGCAUUCUAUCUGAUCAUUGGAUCCCAUCAACAUCACCGGCCCGACUGCAUCCUCUGUUCCCCAUUCCAGUAACCGCCACUGUCCACUGUCUUCUAGACGAGGUGAACGGCUCUUGGGAUGUGGAGACCGUGAGAGCUUUCUUUCCUGAGAGAGUGGCUGAUGAUAUCCUUCCGAUUCCAGUUAACAGAUUCAAGGGUCCAGAUUUUGCUCGUUGGCCUUUUUCCAAAUUUGGAGAGUAUUCGGUCAGGUCUGCGUAUAACAUGGUAAGAACGACCCGUUUCUUGUUGGCUCGGAGUGGCAAUGGCCUGGGUCAGAGCUCGACCUGGUCAGAAGAAGAAAAGCUAUGGAAGGCGUUGUGGCGAGUCAAGGCACCCAACAAGAUGAAGAUUGUCCUAUGGCGAUUGGCUCAUGAUUGUCUACCGUCAGGGGAGCAGCUUCUUCAUCGCCAGAUCCCGACUAGAACAGAUUGUUGUUUCUACGGCAGAUCGGAGAGUGUGGAGCACGCGCUGCUCUUCUGCCCCCAUGCGCGGGCGGUCUGGGAUAUGAUCAGGGAGUGCUUCGAUAUUAAGCUCUGUCGGUCCUCUUUUGCAUCUCCUAAACAAUGGCUCUUUGACUUUCUCUCCCGCUUCUCCGAUCAAGAAGCGACAAUCUUGACUGUGUCGGUUUGGCACAUAUGGGAGGCACGAAAUGCUGGAAGGAUGAACCUGUUGCUCCUCAUCCGAGGCACACAGCGGCUAGGGCCCGAGCUUACAUCGAGUUGAUCUUCCAACACCUGUACAAACCUGUGCCUGCACUUAGGCGUGAGACCUCUACGUCAAGCCCUCUUUGGUCUCCCGCCGCCGCAGGGCACGCUGGUCGCCUUCUCAGAUGCUGCUAUUUCGGUGGAACUGAACAAAUCUGGGUUUGGUGUGGUAUUUUUGGAUCAUAUGGGUCACUGUGUGGCGUCUUGCUCUAAACUUGUGAAAGGUGUGUUGGAUCUUGAAGUGGCCGAGGCCAUGGCGCUCCGUCGAGCUGUCCGUUUGGCUAGAGAGGAAGGAUUGGCUGAUGUGCUUUUCAAGUCAGACUGUCUCUCAGUGGUGCAGCGCAUGAAAUCUCCAGCCAUGGAUCGUUCAAUGAUGGGAUCUGUGUUGGCUGAGGUCAAGGUAGUGGCUAAUGGUCUCCACUUUGCGUCGUUUUUGCAUAUACGUCGGCAUAUUAAUGUUUUAGCUCAUGUCUUACCUAGAUCAAGCUUGUUUUCUACUAGUCUUUGUAUUUCUCAUUCUGCUCCGGAUUACAUCAACUCUUUGUAAGUUUGUUUUUUGAUCAAUAAAGACCGACGUUCUAAAAAAACAAUUCGGUUUGGAGGCGUGGCCAUCGCAGCCUUGCACUGUGCCCACGAUUAGAAAACUCGCUGACCUCUUCUAGAUACAUUGCAUACAUUCGCAAAAAGAGUAUACGUUGCAUACGUAGUCCGAAGAUGGUAAAUAUGUCUAGACUAUUUCUCCCGACAGGUACUCCCUUCUUUUCGAAAUAUAAGUUAUUUUAGGGAUUUUAAUAUGAACUGACAUAUUUUAGAGUAUACAUCCACUCAUCUUGUUCUGUAUGUAAUACUCCCUCCGUUCCUAAAUGUAAGUCUUUUUAAAUAUUCCACUACAAACUACAUAUGGAUGUAUAUACACAUAUUUUAGAGCAUAGAUUCACGCAUUUUGCUUCCUAUAUGGAUCAUAGUGGAACCUUUAAAAAGACUUAUAUUUAAAAACGGAGAAAGUAUAUAUUAAAAUCUCUGAAAGAGACUUGUAUUUAGAAACGAAGGGAGUAUUUCCAAACAAAGCGAGUAUCUUGGCCGCAACCGCAGCUAGCGGACGACGCCGAUGAUGUUGAGACGCCAUCAAACCCAGCGAGAGGGCAGUUGCGUGGGAUCGACGUAAGUGGCAUUAUGACAAAGCUGUCAAGGUGCAACUGCUUCUCCCGCCGCACUGUUACGGAUGUCACGGGGGGCAUAGCUAGUUAAGCUACGGGAGAGUGGAACCCAGCCCACGCACCGUUGUUGAUCCUAUCUCGCCGAGAGUCGCCGGCUCCGGCCACAGGCCGGGCAGCCGGGCAAGCUUCGUCCUGCAUGCGAUCGAUGCAUGCAUGGACCACUUAGCCACUCGAUCGGUCGGAAUUAAGCGAGCCACGGUACGUUGAGCUAGCAUGAUUGGCAGAAGCAGGGCGCCCCUCACGUCGCAUGCAGCCAUUAAGGCCCUGUACAAUGAAAGGUGCUUAGGGGAGAUGCUUAGAGAAAUAAAUCAGGCUUUUCUUAAGUAUCAGUGCUUAUUUGUACAUGAUAGACGUUUAACUAAUCGUCUCUCCUGUAAAAAUAGGCACCGGUGCUUCAAAAAAACCCGGUUUAUUUUUUAAGCAUCUUUCUAAGCACCUUCCAUUGUACAAGGCCUAACAGUGACACACUAGCUGCUCCUCUCAUGUCGUGCGUGUCUGCAUGUGCAUCGUGUGACCACAGGGCAUGAUAUGGAUGCAAACUUUUGUUAGGCAGAUCAGAUGGCUCUAGUCGCUCGUAUAGAUAACCAAGGGAGGGAGCUCCACAUGAGAUGUUUAUGGCGCCUUAAUCGGGGUGUUAGGCUGCUCCGGCAAAGCACAGCACCACUGCUGAACGCCUGCGACGGUGGGUCUGCCCCCACGUGAUAUUGCUCUCUAGCUUCUCUUUGUUGUGUGUGCCCAGCCUCAAUAAUCCAUUUUUUCUGAAAUCUUAUCCGCUUAUCCCUUACCCAUGAGUGACCGGGUCGUGCUGAGCAGUAUCGUGCGGACGUACUAAUGGAAAUUGUUUAGUGUGCUACAUAUAUCUUGGUCCGUGCUUGAAUUAGUUGUGCAUAGUUUAUCCUAAAUGCUGCGCAGCAUUUUUCUAGCCAUCGCGCGCGAAAGCUCUUCCUGCCUUCGAUCACCUAGCACGAAUCACGAUGCAAAGCUGAUGUCAGGUCGGUUUUUUGAAUUGUUCGCGCACGCGUCUGAAUUGAGCAAACGAAGUUCAGCUUGGAGCAACUCCAAUGCGCCAAUCCAAACAGCCGCCAAUGCGUCCAACACACCGAUCAUAUUUGCCGGCGUGGCCGGUUGGCCGCCUUUUUUUAACAAAUAUGCGCACAUUUUGCAUAGUUUCACAACUAAAUAAACAUAAUUUCACAAUCAAAUAAAGCAUAGUUUGACAACUAAAUAAAUUUAGCAUGGUUUUACAAGCCGGAUAAAAAUUAAAUUGUCUCAAAUACAUGUGAAAAAAAGAUACAUCUAUUGGUUGCCAACAUGAGCCCACAUAUACUCAACAAAAUCAUUUUGCAGCUGCAUGUGAGGUUUUUAAUCACGCAUUUCAUUAUGAAAUUGUGUGAACUGUGCAAAAGUGGUCGCUCCUCCAUAUUCAGGCACAACAUUCUCACCUAAAACUAAAACCUUGAUCGUAGGUACGUUCCGGGCGCUUAUCCUCCACGAUUAUAUUGUGCAUGAUCACACAAGUAGUCAUCACCUCCCACAACUUCUUUGUUCUUCAAGUCCUAACAGGAUACCGAACGAUGCCCCAAUGAGAUUGCAGAACACCAAAGGCACGCUCAACAUCCUUCCUAGCACUCUCUUGCUCUUGGGCAAAUAUUUUCAUCUUCUCUCAGACAGGGUUGGGGAUUGUCUUCAUAAUAGUGGUCCACUGAGGAUAGAUACCGUCACCUAGGUAGUAUCCAUAGUCGUAGUUGUGCCCGUUGAUGGUAACAUUCACCAGCGGGUUGUUGCUUUCGACAGGCCUUGCAAACACGGACGAGCGUUGAAGCACGUUGAUACCAUUAGGUGAUCCCGCCAUGCCGAAGAAAGAGUGACAGAUCCAAAGAUCUUGUGGCCACGGCCUCAAGUAUGACACAGCAAACCCUGGCAUGGCACUUAUACUGCCCUUGCCAAGUAGAAGGUGAAGGAAAUAUGCCCUAGAGGCAAUAAUAAAGUUGUUAUUUUAUAUUUCCUUAUUCAUGAUAAAUGUUUAUUAUUCAUGCUAGAAUUGUAUUAACCGGAAACUUGAUACAUGUGUGGAUACAUAGACAAAACACCAUGUUCCUAGUAAGCCUCUACUAGACUAGCUAGUUAAUCAAAGAUGGUUAAGUUUCCUAACCAUAGACAUGUUUUGUCAUUGGAUGAACGGGAUCACAUCAUUAGAGAAUGAUGUGAUGGACAAGACCCAUCCGUUAGCUUAGCAUAAUGAUCGUUCAGUUUUAUUGCUAUUGCUUUCUUCAUGUCAAAUACAUAUUCCUCCGACUAUGAGAUUUUGCAACUCCCAGAUACCGGAGGAGUGCUUUGUGUGCUAUCAAACGUCACAACAUAACUAUAAAGAUGCUCUACAGGUAUCUCCGAAGGUGUUUGUUGGGUUGGCAUAGAUCAAGAUUAGGAUUUGUCACUCUGAGUAUCGGUGGGGUAUCUCUGGGCCCUCUCGGUAAUGCACAUCAUAAGAAGCCUUGCAAGCAAAGGGACUAAUGAGUUAUUUACAGGAUGAUGCAUUACGGUAUGUGUAAAGAGACGUGUCGGUAACGAGAUUUAACUAGGUAUGAAGAUACCGACGAUCGAAUCUUGGGCAAGUAACAUACCGAUGACAAAGGGAAUAAUGUAUGUUGUCAUAAGGUUCGACCGAUAAAGAUCUUCGUAGAAUAUGUAGGAGCCAAUAUGGGCAUCCAGGUCACACUUUUGGUUAUUGACUGGAGAGGUCUCUCGGUCAUGUCUACAUAGCUCUUGAACCCGUAGGGUCCGCACGCUUAACGUUUGUUGACGAUAUAUUAUUAUAUGAGUUAUGUAUGUUGGUGACCAAAUGUUGUUCGGAGUCUCGGAUGAGAUCACGGACAUGACGAGGAGCUCCAGAAUGGUCUGAGGGUAAAGAUUCAUAUAUUGGAAGAUAUGGUUAGGCCAAGGGGUUUGGCCCAUGGGGAUAUAGGUCGGUGCAAAAGAAAGUUUUGCGGAGGUCAGAGGCCAAACGCCGGAGACCAUGGCGUCUGGCCCUGGGCCAGACGCCGAGGCCCAUGGCGUCUGGGCCAGACGCCAAGGAUUGUGGUGUGUGGGCCUGGAGUCCGAGUGGGAUUCCUGCCUUUCGGGCAAAACCGACUUUGAGGAGGCUUUUGCUCCAAGUUUCGACCCCAGGGCUCAACAUAUAAAUAGAGGGGCAGGGCUAGCACCAAAGACACAUCAAGAUUCACCAAGCCGUGUGCCGACAACCCCGUCCCCUCUAGUUUAUCCUCCGUCAUAGUUUCCGUAGUGCUUAGGCGAAGCCCUGCGGAGAUUGUUCUUCACCAACACCGUCACCAUGUCGCCGUGCUGACGGAACUCAUCUACUUCCUCGACACUCUGCUGGAUCAAGAGUUUGAGGGACAUCAUCGAGCUGAAUGUGUGUAGAAGUCGGAGGUGCCGUACGUUCGGUACUUGAUUGGUCGGAACGAGAAGAAGUUCGACUACAUCAACCGCGUUGUCAAACGCUUCCGCUUUCGGUCUACGAGGGUACGUAGAUACACUCUCCCCAUAUCGUUGCUAUGCAUCUCCUAGAUAGAUCUUGCGUGAGCGUAGGAAUUUUUUGAAAUUGCAUGCUACGUUUCCCAACAGUGGCAUCCGAGCCAGGUCUAUGCGUAGAUGAUAUGCACAAGUAUAACACAAAGAGUUGUGAGCGGUGAUUGUCAUACUACUUACCACCAAUGUCUUAUUUUGAUUCGGUGGUAUUGUUGGAUGAAGCGGCCCGGACCAACCUUACAUGACCACGUUCAUAAGACCAGUUCCACUGAUAGACAUGCAACUAGUUUUGCAUAAAGGUGGCCGACGGGUGUCUAUUUCUCCUACUUUAGUUGAAUCGAAUUUGACUGCAGACGGUCCUUGUUGAAGGUUACAACAGCAAACUUGAUAAAUCACCAUUGUGGUUUUGUGCCGUAGGUAAGAACGGUUCUUGCUAGAAUCUCGUAGCAGCCACGUAAAACUUACAACAACAAAGUAGAGGGCGUAUAACUUGUUUUUGUAGGGCAUGUUGUGACGUGAUAUACGUUGUUGUAUGAGAUGAUCAUGUUUUGUAGAAGUUAUCGGCAACUGGCAAGAGCCUUAUGGUUGUCGCUUUAUUGUAUGAAAUGCAAACGUCAUGUAAUUGCUUUAGUUUGUCACUAAGCAGUAGCGAUAGUUGUAGAAGCAAUAGUUGGCAAGACAACCAUGACGCUACGAAGGAGAUCAAGGUGUCAAGCCGGUGACAAUGGAGAUCAUGACGUUGCUUUGUAGAUGGAGAUCGAAAGCAAAAGAUGAUGGUGGCCAUAUCAUGUCACAUAUUUUGAUUGCAUGUGAUGUUUAUCUUUAUGCAUCUUAUUUUGCUUAGUACGGCGGUAGCAUUAUAAGAUGAUCCCUUAACUAAAUUUUAAGGUAUAAGUGUUCUCCUCGAGUAUGCACCAUUGCAACAGUUCUUCAUGCUGAGACACCACGUGAUGAUCGGGUGUGAUAGGCUCUACGUUCACAUACAAAGAGUGCAAGAUAGUUUUGCACAUGUGAAAUACUCGGGGUAAACUUGACUAGCCUAGCAUGUACAGACAUGGCCUUGGAACACUCUAGACUGAAAGGUCGAACGUGAAUCAUAUAGUAGAUAUGAUCAACAUAGAGAUGUUCACCAUUGAUGACUUCUCCAUCUCACGUGAUGAUCAGACAUGGUUUAGUUGAUUUGGAUCACGUAUCAUUUAUAUGACUUGGGAGAUGUCUAUCUAAGUGGGAGUUCUUAAGUAAUAUGAUUAAUUGAACUUAAUUUAUCAUGAACUUAGUCCCGAUAGUUUUUGCAUAUCUAUGUUGUAGAUCAAUGGCCCGUGCUACUGUUCCUUGAAUUUUAAUGCGUUCCUAGAGAAUGCUAAGUUGAAAGAUGAUGGUAGCAACUACACGGGCUGGGUCCGUAACUUGAGGAUUAUCCUCAUUGGUGCACACAAGAAUUAUGUCCUUCAUGCAUUGCUAGGUGUACCACCCCCCUCCCAACACCUGCAGACGUUGUGAACGCCUGGCAGUCGUGUGUUGAUGACUACUCAAUAGUUCAGUGUGUCAUGCUUUACGGCUUAGAAUCGGGACUUUAAAGACGUUUUGAACGUCAUGGACCAUAUGAGAUGUUCCAGGAGUUGAAGUUGAUAUUUCAAGCAAAUGCCCGAGUUGAGAGAUAUGAGGUCUAUGAUACGUCUCCAACGUAUCUGUAGUUUUUAAUUGUUCCAUGUUAUUAUAUUAUCAUUCUUGCAUGUUUUACAAUCAUUUUAUAGUCAUUUUAUAUCAUUUUUUGGUACUAACCUAUUGACAAAGUGCCCCGUGCCAGUUGUUGUCUUCUGCUUGUUUUUUACAUCGCAGGAAAUAAAUAACAAUCGGAGUCCAAACGCAGUGAAACUUUUUAUGGAUUUUUUUGGACCAAAAGACAUCCAGUGGGCAAAGAAAGUAAUCUGUUAGUCAGCCCAAGAAGGCUAUGAAGAAGAAAUCUAUUGUGAAGCCAUCUUCUUCUGCAAUGCCCUCACGACCUAGCUCCUCAUUGCCCUCAUGGCCCAGCUCCUCAAAGCCCUCAGCUGCACCUACAAAGUUCUCAGCACCAGUGCAUCUUACCACGUGCCAAAGGACUACAUGCUUUUCAAUUGCUUCAGGAGCUUCAGCAAGUUCCUCAGCACAGCCAUAGCUGCUGAAGAAAAAGGUCACUGCUAGACGCGGCACAAGGCCAAGUCCUCACAAGAAGCAGGUCGCUUUUGAAGUACCAUCAUCUAAAGAUGAUGCUCAUGAUGAAGAACUGGCUCAAAUCAUCAGAGACCGACAAAACCGGGACGCUAGUGCCAAAGGUAGUGUCGUGCCGCUCUUGCUGGAUCCGAAGAAGAUCCUUGACUACACCGACCUUUGGCAUAAAGAUCCCAACACACCUCUCUCCUAUCUGAAGCUCACACCAGGCCAAAGUCACGUGUUGACUGCUUUCAUUGCUGAAGAAAAAUGGAAGUUUGAGAAGAAAGAUCAGUGAAGAAAGCUCAGUACAAGAAGGAGCAUUAUCUGAAGAAAAAUGUUCUAAAAAUGACGACUGAACAACUUGUAACUAUUUAGUCUGAAAUCAAAGCUCUCAAUGAUGAAUUUGACGCAUACAAAGCUGAUUGGCUAGGAGCCAAAGCCAGAUUCGUCAUGCUGGCUAAAGGCCUCAAGCCCAAUGUUGUUGCUGAAGCGCAACAAGAAGUUCCUCAGGGUGAAGCAUCUGCUCAACCCACUGAAGAACAUGCCAGCACCACUGAUGAAACUUAGGCUGCUGAAGAAACUGAGAGUGCUAGGGCUGAUGAUGCUAUUCCAGCCAACGUUGUGCCUAAAGAAAUUGUGCCUCUGUCAUCUGCUUCCCCUGCAAAAUCUUCAGAGAUGAAAAGCACUCUCCUUCCUUUUGCAUCAGAAGUGAAGAAAACCAAGGCUGUCGAAAGGGCAUCAGCUAAGAAGAGGAAAGCAUCAGACGCCUCAGAGUCUUCAGCUCCGAAGAAAGUGAAGACUUUGACGAGCUCUUUUGAGAAUCCCAUUGAUGUUGUUCCACUAAAUGCCAUGCCAUCAAAGGAAAUUGUUCCCUUUGGUGAAGAAUAUGUCAUCGAUGAUGACAUUGAUGAAGGUGAUCCAUCUGCUGCUACGUCAGAGCAGUUGGAUGAAGAAAUUGAAGUGGAUGAUAUCCCUUCAUCGUUACAGGUAUCAUCGCCGCUGCCUUAGUUCACUACUGAAGAGGUCGGUGUUGAAGAAGUUGAAGCUAAAGAAGAGGAUGUGGACAUCGGGUCUACGACUCCAGUGAUGAAUGACGAUUAUUGGGAAAGUCAUCAUCCAAAUUCUCCUCUGUUCACUCCUUUGCAAUAAAUUCCUCAGUCCCCCGUGCACACUGAAGUAAUCCACUCGGGUUCUGAUCACGGCCAAGCUUCUCUUCACUCCAUCCCUGAAGAAAUUCCGGCCACUAGUGCUGAUGAGAUUGAAAAAAAGACAGCAGAAGAAACUGCUCCUAAGAUUCCUCAGCCAGAGGUUGUGCUUCAAGCGGCUGUGAAGACUUCAACUAUAAAUCUUCAGCCCAAGCCACAGGAUCCUCACUCCAAGAAGCAGAAGUUCAAGGCUGAUGAUUUCUUUGCUGAACACCAUUUCUUCUCUGAUUUCAAUCCCUAUGACACUGCUCGCCUUUGCCGCAAGCGCUUCUGGACUGCUUCCCGGAUGAACUUCUAUUCAACACUGCUAUUUGGCAAGGACAAAAGUGUUUGACCAUAGGCAAAUUCCACAUGUGGAUAUGGAGUCACUUCCAUGCUUUACUCCAGUCCUCAGUGUUCUUCAUGAUGCAAGGAUGCUCAACUUUUGCACAGACAUAUGCGACUGGAAUGAAGAACUAAUUCUUCCGUUCUAUGCCACUCUGCAUCUGACACGCAACGUUGACAUGUGAAUUCAUGGGUCUUGGACUGGAUAACUGAAAAUACUCAUCACAAACCUCUGGCCUCUGAAUUGCUUCAUGUCGUCCCAGCCAUUUUGCCCACCGAAGGAGCACUGAAGCUAUAUGAGGAACCUGAACUGUCAAAUCAUCUGAUGCAUGUGCUGAUGAAGCCUUUGAAGCCUGGCCAAGCGCCUAGGACUGUCUAUCACAUUAUGGCCAAAACCCUCAGUCCCAUUAAGGGACACAACUCUGAAGAAGAAGAAGUUGUUGGCAUCAUGAAGAACUUGCUUUGCAAUAUCAUGCAUGGUAUUCCAAUCAACUAUCAUGAUUUCUUCAUGAGGACUUUGGCUAAUGCUGCUUUGUCACCCUUUGAGUUGAAGCCUUACGCUCCCUGGAUCAUGAAAUUCCUCAGAUCAAGGACUUCAAUUCAUUACAAGGCUGACUUUCAGAAUCAUCUCAGUUAUUUGCCCCCGAUUGAAGUCCUCAAAUGGACUAUUUCCUUCGUUGAUGAGAAGGGCAAGGCUGCAGUUAUUGAUGAGGGCACACAUCCUUUGGAUGGACAAUUUCGAAAGGCAGCACCCUACUCCACUAAUGAUGACUCUGCCACAAAUGACACUGUUGCAAAUGCUUCAAAGUGAAAUCCUCAGGCAACAGCUCCGCAUGUGAUGACUGAUUGUGAGCUGCUCCUAAGUCUUCAUCAGAAGGUGGACAUAAAUCACAAUUGGGUCAAGCGUCAGUUUGGUGCAAUCCUUCACAAGAUGAGAUUCACUCAAAAUACCGUGAAGAAGAAUCACUAUUAUCUGCAUCAAGUCUUCGAUCGCACCUGGGCUAUUCUCUCAUAUGUCUACACCGAUGAUGAACUCAAGAAGAUGGACUUACAUAGGACUUUGACUGGUCUCAGUCACCUUCGAAUAAAUUCAAGAAGGUCAAAGUUCCUCCGCUGGUCGUCAGCUCCUAUUCUUCAUUGCACGAGAUGGACGAAGCUGAAGAUUUGGCUGACACUGCAGCAGGCCCUACUACAACGGACGACCCCAACAACGCUGGCGCUCCUCCAUCGACAUCAUGAUGAUAUUCUUCAGGGUGUUUGUCCUCACUUUUCGUCCCUUUUGGUCAUUUGAUGACAAAGGGGGAUAAAUUUGAGUUAGUCUUCAAGCGGGUCUAUAUAUGGGCGUUUUUUGCUAAGUUACAACUCUCGCUCUUCUGAAGUAUUUGUCGGAUCGAGUUGUAAACUUAAGUCCUAUGGUGGCCUAAUACUUUUGCUCUAUUUUUCUGCACGCUAUUUCCUCAUAUAUGUGAAUGCACGCAUGGUGAAUUACAUCAGUCACCAUAUUUCAUCAUGCAUUUCAAAUUCUUCAUUCGAUAUGUUUAAUGUGUGUAUGAAUUACAAGAUAUAGGGGGAGAUCUACAUGAUAUUACUCUACAGUGUGCAUUGCUUAUUGAAAGAAAAUUCCUCACAUAUGCACAUAGGGGGAGUUCUUCUAUAUCUUGCAAUCAAAUUUCUCAAUACUGAGCACUUUCAAUUGAUAUGUUUAUCCCUGUUGAAAACUCAACCUAUUUGUCAUCAAUCACCAAAAAGGGGGAGAUUGUAAGUGCAUCUAGUGCCCCUUAGUGAUUUUGGUGUAUUGAAGACUUAUAUGUUAAGGGACUAAUAUGUUUGUGAGUGUACACAGGCUCUAUAAGUCGAUGAGGGGUUUGAUAUUUACGAUGAAAGUCGACCCCUAAAAAUGUAUGUCUUCAGCUGAAGACUUUGGUUCUCCUGAAGAUUUUGAAAGUGAAGAAAUUGGUGUGACCUUGAAGACUUGGAUAUUCAUGCGAGGAUUAUGAAGCGUGAAGACUUUUGUUUUCGUAGUUUCAUUUUCACUUUCUUGAGUCAUAGGAAAGACCGUACUGUUAAAGGAGGUCGAGGCAAAACUAAGGAAACUGAUUUCCAAGUGAUGCUCAUCUCAAAAUCCUACACCUACCCAAUCCUUUCGAGUGAAGCCAUUGGAAAUCUCAUAUCAGUUCAGUCAAUUUCUUCAGUGACAAAGAUGAAGAUCUUCUGGUCUCUAAGGAAUUUGUUCUGAUUGAGGAGUUAGGAAUUCACCAGUGUGGAUUGCCUACACAGUGAUGAACAUGAUAGCCCUGGGGAAUUCGAACCUUAAAUAUCCGACCGUUGCUGUGCUAUGCGCCAGCUAUCCAAAAUAUCUACCAACCUAAUGGUCAUAUCAUUGAAGGGCAUUUAUGUCUUAUCAUGUCGGGCUGUUACCUAGGCUAUAAAUAGCUACCCCCUACAACCACUAGCUAGUUGGCUGCUCCGCGAGAAACUGACACUUGUCAUUGAGAGCAUCCCAUCCUCCGAGGACUUUGAGCGAAAAUCAUCAAGUGAGGAAAACCCAGAACCCAAAACCAAACACCUACAAACCCAAAGUGAUUAAGCAUCAUUGAAGAGAUUGUUCCUGUGUGGAACCGACGGUUGUUACCUUUGAGGACUGUGUAUCCUCCAGACGGUUAGGCGUCAUGGUCUGAGCAUCCAAGAGGAAUUGUGGAUCAGCAAGUGACCUAGUUUGUGAAGGUUUGAAAGUCACCUGAAGACUUACCACGAGCGUUGGGCGAGGUCUGUGUGACUUUAGCUCAAGGAGAAUAUAGUGAGGACAGUGUCCGGGACUGUGUGUCCUUGAGUUUAAAUACUCAGCCGCUCCAACCAGACGUACAACUGUCACAACAGUUGGAAGUGGUCUACCAAAUCAUUGUCUUCACCAAGCCUAUUGGUUCUAUUUCCUCAACCCUUCCAUUUCCUCAUUCAUGUGUUGAUGAACUUGAUCAUUACUGUUUGAAGACUUUGACUGAAGAGUUUCUCUAUUUCCUUAAUCCAAUCUCUUCAGUCACAUAGUCUUCAUCCUGCUUAUCUUGUUUUCACGCUAUCUGUACUUUGUGCUUGUUUUCAUUUCAUCAUGAUGACUAUGUUGCCACUCUGUUAUGCUUAUACCUGAGUACUUAUUCCGCUGCUAGUGUGUCCUUGCUUAGGAAUUUCUUCACCUAGAAAUUCCUCAGUGACGAAUUUGUAAAAAUCGCCUAUUCACCACCCCUAGUGUCGAUAUAAUGCACUUUCAACAAGACUCUCUCUUUGUGUGGUGUGAAUAGUUUUACUUUUUUUCAUUUUUUUCAUUGAGGGAAGUGCAAAUUAAUUUGGUACGUACAAUAUUACACGUUAGGCUUGUCCCUAAAAUUCAACCCGCGCCUAGUUAUAUCAUGAAAAUUCAGAUAUCGUGCUCCCAAAACUCGCGCCUUCACAGCCCGCACCUUGCUAUCCCAAAAUUACAACGUGCGUGAAAACUCCCUCCAACCGCCAAAUCCUGACACGCGAAAUCCCCCUUCUAACCCUGAGCUGAAAGGGCUGCUAGUUCAAAUUGAUGGGGGUACUUUUGUAAUACACCCUACAUUUUGGACAAGCGCGUCCCUAAGUCAUGGUUCCCCCUCCCAUCGCCUCCUUUUCGCCAUUCGAAAUCCCAGGCCACCAUAACCUCUCUACUCCAGCCACGAAACCCGACCCUCCUCCAUUCACCACCUCACUGCUGCCCAGCUGAAGCCUCUUCCCUGACAACAUCGUCCGCCACACAACUCGACGUCCCUCAUCCACCUCCCCGGAUGGGGAUCCGCCAUCCAGCCGGUUCAGCCACCACGUCCUCCACCUUCAAGGAGCUGCUCCGAUGAUCGCCUUGUCUAUCACGGCUGCUCCAUCCCCACAGCUCUGCCUUAACCUGCUCCACCGGAACCGCAACAUCCUCACUGACUCCUCAGACGAAGUCGAGGCCUACUCGGUGCCACCAAAGAGGUUGUACACUCACCGCAUCGCACCUUCUCCUUAACUCGACCUCCCCGCACCGAUGGUGCUCCAUCUCGCACCCCCAUGGCGGGGCUACCUCGAAGCCGGCACCGUGGGCGACAUCUCCAUGGCGGCUCUACCCAGUGCAAGGCCCCUUGGGUGGUGGCGUCCAUACCAGCCGGAUCUGCUGCUACUGCUCCAGCUCUCGCUCGCUCGCUCGCGCUACUGCUGCUCUGGCCCUUGCUCACUCGCUCGCGCUACUGCUGCUGCUCCGGCUCCCGCUCGCUCGCGCUGCUACUCUACUCUCCCCCUCGCUCGUUCUACUGCUAUGCUCUUGCUCUCGUCGCGCUGCUGAUGCUGGUACAUGGGCUGCUGCAGCUACACAAGUUGCUGCUCUGGCUCUAGUUUGCGCUGCUCCUCCAGGCACUGCUGCUCCGGCUGCUAUUUGCUACUGUGUUCCCCGUCGAUCGCCUGCUGAUUUAGAUAAUUGUUCCUCUACUACUAGCGCUCGAGCGGCCUUAAACUACAUGUGAAGUGCCUCUCUGCAACUAGUGCGUUCAGUUUUGACAGUAACAUUUAGAUUCCAUAGUAAAUUUUAAUUUUGACAGUUAAGUCCAGUGUCAACAGUUUUUACCUCAUCUAUUGUAGUCAGGUGUUUUUUGGUGAUGUAAAUUUUACAUCUAUCACUUUUUGGUAAUGUAUUUUACAUCAUCUAUUGGAGAUGCUAUUAGUAUCCCACUUGAGAUUAAGGAUGUCUGUCUUGUACUGCUUCAGCCUCGACGUCUUACGGCUCGCCGCAGCUGCUCCAACAACGGAACCAUCCAUCACAACAGAGUAGUGCCCUGGACGCUGUCUACAGAUUCCUUAGAUCUUCCUCCACACCUUCGAUAGCCACCUCUGCCUCAACUUCUUCGGCGACCAACCCAAUGAUGUCGAGGUCGACACGGCUACGACAAAGAGGUCAUGCACUUGUCGCAUCACUUAUUACUCUACCUUCAUGUCCAUCCAUUAGGGCUAUUUUGGUUCAAAGGAAAAACUGAAGGAAAAAACAUAGCAAUAGAAAUUUUUCCUGUGGCACUCUAAUAUUCAAUUAUUCAUGCAUUUUUUGAAAGAAAUGGAGCAAAACAUCCAUCUGGACCUAAUUUUCAAAAUCCUAUGCAUGAAAACAAGAACUCUGCCUAUGUUGUCUCAACAUAGCCGGUCCCAAGCCCGGGUAAAGGAGGAGGGUUGUGAUAGGCUUGGCGAGCCAACGUAAAAACUCAGCCACUCUUAUGGAGAUGAAACCCAAAAGAUUUUCGUUGGGGCGUAACCCUCUCAGGGACGCGCCACAUCGGAACCCGGGUGUGGUGGAAAAUGGGCAAGGGCCGGGCCGUCACCCCCCAAGUGGCGCACCGUAUCUUGAUCCGGAUACGGUGGCAAGUGAGCGAGGAUCGGGUCGUCGCAUCCUUAGUGGCGCGCUACAUCGGCGCCCGGAUGUAGUGGAAAAUGAGCAAGGGUCUUCGCAUUUGACUCGACGAGUGCGAAGGGUAAGGAAGCUAGCCGAGCCUAGGAGGAUUCGCUUAGGUAGCUGGAACGUAGGGUCUCUAACAGGGAAGCUUCGGGAGCUAGUUGAUGCAGCAGUGAGGAGAGGUGUUGAUAUCCUUUGCGUCCAAGAAACCAAAUGGAGAGGACAGAAGGCGAAGGAGGUGGAGGAUACCGGCUUCAAGCUGUGGUACACGGGGAAUGGCGUAGGCAUCUUGAUCAACAAGAGCCUCAAGUAUGGAGUGGUAGACAUCAGGAGACGUGGGGACCGGAUUAUCCUGGUCAAGCUAGUAGCUGAGGACUUGGUUCUCAAUGUUAUCAGCGCAUAUGCCCCGCAAGUAGGCCACAAUGAGAACACCAAGAGGGAGUUCUGGGAAGGCUUGGAAGACAUGGUUAGGAGUGUACCGAUUGGUGAGAAGCUCUUCAUAGGAGGAGACCUCAAUGGCCACGUGGGUACAUCUAACACAGGUUUUGAAGGGGCGCAUGUGGGCUUUGGCUAUGGCAUCAGGAAUCAAGAAGGAGAAGAUGUCUUAAGCUUUGCUCUAGCCUACAACAUGAUUGUAUCUAACACCCUCUUUAGAAAGAGAGAAUCACAUCUGGUGACUUUUAGUAGUGGCCAACACUCUAGCCAGAUUGAUUUCAUCCUCUCGAGAAGAGAAGAUAGGCGUGCGUGCCUAGACUGUAAGGUGAUAUCUGGGGAGAGUGUUGUACCCCAGCAUAAGCUGGUGGUUGCUGACUUCCGCUUUCAGAUCGUGUCCAGCGGGAUAAGCGUGCCAAGGUUGCUAGAACGAAGUGGUGGAAGCUCAAGGGGGAGGUAGCUCAGGUGUUCAAGGAGAGGGUAUUUAAGGAGGGCCCUUGGGAGGAAGGAGGGGAUGCGGACAAUGUGUGGAUGAAUAUGGCGACUUGCAUUCGUAAGGUGGCCUUAGAGGAGUUUGGAGUGUCCAGGGGAAGGAGAAGCGAAGAUAAGGAUACCUGGUGGUGGAAUGAUGAUGUCCAGAAGGCGCUUAAAGAGAAGAAAGAUUGCUUCAGACGCCUAUACCUGGAUAGGAGUGCAGACAACAUAGAGAAGUACAAGAUGGCGAAGAAGGCCGCAAAGCGAGUUGUUGGUGAAGCAAGGGGUCGGGCAUAUGAGGACCUCUACCAACGGUUAGGCACGAAGGAAGGUGAAAGGGACAUCUAUAAGAUGGCUAAGAUCCGGGAGAGGAAGAAGAGGGAUAUUGGCCAAGUCAAAUGCAUCAAGGACGGAGCAGGCCAACUCUUGGUGAAGGACGAAGAGAUUAAGCAUAGAUGGCGGGAGUACUUCGACAAGCUGUUCAAUGGGGAGAAUGAGAGUUCUACCAUUGAACUGAAUGACUCCUUUGAUGAGACCAGCAUGCGUUUUGUGCGGCGCAUCCAGGAGUCUGAGGUGAAGGAGGCUUUAAAAAGGAUGAAAGGAGGCAAGGCGAUGGGCCCUGAUUGUAUCUCCAUUGAGGUGUGGAAAGGUCUCGGGGACAUAGCGAUAGUAUGGCUAACCAAGCUUUUCAACCUCAUUUUUCGGGCAAACAAGAUGCCAGAAGAAUGGAGACGGAGUAUAUUAGUACCAACCUUCAAGAACAAGGGGGAUGUUCAGAGUUGUACUAAUUACCGUGGAAUUAAGCUGAUGAGCCAUACAAUGAAGCUAUGGGAGAGAGUCAUUGAGCACCGCUUAAGAAGAAUGACAAGCGUGACCAAAAAUCAGUUUGGUUUCAUGCCUGGGAGGUCGACCAUGGAAGCCAUUUUCUUGGUACGACAACUUAUGGAGAGAUAUAGGGAGCAUAAGAAGGACUUGCAUAUGGUGUUCAUUGACUUGGAGAAGGCCUAUGAUAAGAUACCGCGGAAUGUCAUGUGGUGGGACUUGGAGAAACACAAAGUCCCAGCAAAGUACAUUACCCUCAUCAAGGACAUGUACAAUAAUGUUGUGACAAGUGUUCGAACAAGUGAUGUCGACACCGAUGACUUCCCGAUUAAGAUAGGACUGCAUCAGGGGUCAGCUUUGAGCCCUUAUCUUUUUGCAUUGGUGAUGGAUGAGGUCACAAGGGGUAUACAAGGAGAUAUCCCAUGGUGUAUGCUCUUUGCGGAUGAUGUGGUGCUAGUUGAUGAUAGUCGGACGGGGGUAAGUAGGAAGUUAGAGUUAUGGAGACAAACUUUGGAAUCGAAAGGGUUUAGGCUUAGUAGAACUAAAACCGAGUACAUGAUGUGCGGUUUCAGUACUACUAGCUGUGAGGAGGAGGAGGUUAGCCUUGAUGGCCAGGUGGUACCUCGGAAGGACACAUUUCGGUAUUUGGGGGCAAUGUUGCAGGAGAAUGGGGGUAUUGAUGAAGAUGUGAACCAUCGAAUCAAAGCCGGAUGGAUGAAGUGGAGCCAAGCUUCUGGCAUUCUCUGUGACAAGAGAGUGCCACAAAAGCUAAAAGGCAAGUUCUACAGGACGGCGGUUCGACCCGCAAUGUUGUAUGGCGCGGAGUGUUGGCCGACUAAAAGGCGACAUGUUCAACAGUUUGGUGUGGCAGAGAUGCGUAUGUUGAGAUGGAUGUGUGGCCACACGAGGAAGGAUCGAGUCCGGAAUGAUGAUAUACGAGAUAGAGUUGGGGAAGCACCAAUUGAGGAGAAGCUUGUCCAACAUCGUUUGAGAUGGUUUGGGCAUAUUCAGCGCAGGCCUCUAGAAGCUCCAGUGCCUAGCAGACGGCUAAAGCGUGCGGAGAAUGUCAAGAGAGGGCGGGGUCGACCGAUUUUGACAUGGGAGGAGUCCGUUAAGAGAGACCUGAAGGAUUGGAGUAUCGACAAAGAGCUAGCUAUGGACAGGGGUGCGUGGAAGCUUGCUAUCCAUGUGCCAGAGCCAUGAGUUGGUUGCGAGAUCUUAUGGGUUUCACCUCUAGCCUACCCCAACUUGUUUGGGACUAAAGGCUUUAUUGUUGUUGUUCUAUGCAUGAAAACAAGACCAAGUGCAUUAGUGGCAGAAUAACAUUCUAACUGUACACGCUUUCAUACGGUUUCAGUUUAAUUUGGCCAUGUUUCUAUGCAUUCCUCUGCUCUUCCAAUUCCUGUGAACCAAACACCCAAGUUGACAAAAAUCAUGUGUUUACAAAUGCUCUAUUACCCACGUGCAUUCCUAUCCUAUUCCGGUGUUUUUCCAAUCCCUGCAUUUUUAGAAUCCUGCAAGCCAAAGGAGCCCUAACAAAAUUACUUCAGUUACAAGUAGGUGUCGAAGAAAACUUUGUGUGGUUUGGCCUGCUCCUACCGCGAUGUCGUCCACCUCACCUGAGCUGCUCCAUCGACAGAAGCAUCCAGCAAACCAGACAUCAUGACUCCUGACCGUCUUUCGCCGCCUCAGAUCUCCUUCGCUGCCGCCGACUCCCACCACAACGGCAUCACCAUCAUUGACUCAGCAGAUGAACCUGAGGAGUACACGGGUCCACAAGAGAGGUCACACUGUUUUGUUUCUGCUUAUAUUAUGCAUUGCUUAAUAUUACCUGCUACUUUAUCAUCAUGUUCACCUCUUAGACUCCAAGUCAGGUCCAAAUUAAUAUUCAAACUUGAGUUUUAAAAUUAGUUGUGGGGUACAUAUCAGGGCAGCAAUGAAUAGUAUCUCUAUCUAUUAUCUGGCACAUAUCAAGUUAGCAAUGAAUAGUAUAUUGGCAUAUGUUGUUCAUCUUGGAUGGGAAAGAAAUAGUAAAGCAAUCAUCAUCUGUCUUUUUAUUAAAUUAAAGCUAUCAUCAGCCUGCUAUCAUUAUUUUUGGAUCCAUCCACUGGUUGUUACCAUCACUCUAGAUUUCUGCAUGCUCUCCUUACAUAAUCUCAUUAUAUUUUUUGUAUGCAUGUCAGAUAUUUUACACAGUUGUGCUGAACAUGUAGAGAAAAAGAGAAGAGUUUUGCGUGGCAAUACGAUGUCAUGCAAACAUCGCUCCAUGGUGGGUUCAAUGGCAAACCCUCCCCCCUCCCCAGAUUGUAAUCCAAAGGAAUAUAUCUAUUCUGAGGCAGAUUCAGACGUUGACCACUCCUAUUUAACCCCAAGGUGUUUGCUCUAACUUGGCAUGAUGAUGUGAGUCAUAUCAUGCAUACGUUGCCUUGCAGUGCCUACUUUCGACAUCAUGUAUGUCAUCUUCUUAGUUUAGAGAUGUUCUGUAAUGCCGCCUAUUUAGUUUCUAUAUCAUAUAUGGAAAUUAUGCAGUCUCAUCUCUUUUAUCCAGCCAUAAUAUAUGUGAAAAAUGCAAUGCCAUCAUGUUUAACCAAGCAUCAUAUAUUUGAAUGAUAUCUUGCCCAUCCUUUUCUUCAUUACAUUUCCAUUUUUCGACAAUAUUUGUACAUUAAACUACUCUUCCUGUGAAUCAGCCAUUUGAGUGAGUGAUGGGAAAAUCUGGAGUGCAAAGAAGGUCUUUAGAGCAGACAGUGCUACCCGUCGAAGCAGAUCUCUUGCUGGGUCCCGAUAGCUCCUCAGAGAUGGAUUCACAGAGAGAUGCCCAGUCCUUUUCUUUAUAUUAAUCUCCAUUAUCUUCCUCUGCCAACAAACUCUUUCUUUACAACUAACCCCUGUGUUCUGUCACUAUUUGCUGAGAGAAGUUCCUGUGUACCCGUGUGCUUGAUGAGUAUGAGAUCAUACUCAUUCUUGCUAUUGUUGUUGAUUUUGUAGAAGUAGCAAAUGAUGGAUGUGCUGAUGAGAAUGAUGAACAGUAGGAGUAGCUCUACGGGUUGGGAAUAAAUAAAGAAGUUGCUUGUAUCAUAACCUUUGUAAUAGCUAGUAAUGAAUAAAGUUGGCUCUUGUGCAUACUGGAAAAUAAUUUGUUUACUAGCCUAACAUGCUUAUAAAUUCGAGAUUUAUAAGCAUGUGGCGAUUGUCACGGCUAAGACUCACGCACUUUAACUGUCACGCCCCGAGACCGGGCCUAGGCGAGACAGCCGCCGCGCACCUAUAGACCAGAGGCCUAUAGUCACGCAAGGCAUGAUAAAGCAGGCAUAAACCAGAAGUGGAUCACAAAAGCUAAUAUAUUUACUAUACAAAUUCCUUGACAUCUACAAAUAGUUGAGUAAAGACAUCAUAUUCUCUAGUCGCUUCCCACCCGCUGGUUAAGCCUAGUCUUGGAUGAAGACAUCUUCUGAACAUACAUAAGUUGAACAUACUUAAGUUACCUCGUUCGCAUCUAAAAAAACAGAGGAAGCAAGGGUGAGUAUGACAAAUCAUACUCAGCAAGCAGAUACUUCACUAUUCAACAAGGAGCGAUGCUAUGAUGGUGUAGAUCAACAGACGAAAUGAACAAGGAAAUUAUUGGCAUCACACAUGACCGCAAGCUUCCCAACCCGGGAGUCACAGGGGUGAAAUUUCACACUUUUACGCUCUUAAGAGGGGUACUCCGACGUCGACAGUCUCGACUAGAACCACACAGGUUCCAGAAGAGCAGAGCUCUUUUACCCACUAAGACCCGGACACCUGGACCUACUGAUGUCGGUCGCUCCUGCGGAUCCAUCACCGACACGUUCCCGAACGAGGUCUGUCCUUAGCAGAGAACCCAGACAGUCCCAUACCUGAACUGUGACCAGUACAAUACGUUUGCCGUCGUGACACCAAUAUAGAUGGAUGUGUGUUUGAAUCAACAUUAGGACCACUGAAGUAUCGGUCAAAGACAAUACACUCAUGGCUUUUCAUGAGUUCCUCCAAAAUACUCUGGUUCCAUCAACAAAUGGAUUAUGAGGAAAACACAUCCCUCUUUCAAGGAUCAACAGAGGAUCAACAAAGAUCAAGGUGCAAUGAUAUUACCAGAUAAUCAAGCAAGACAACAACAAAGAGGGAUCAGGGAGUUUAGCAAAGCAGCUACUUGCCUCAGAUAAUAUGAUUUCUCCUUUAGAAUAAUAUUUUGCAAGAAGAUGAAACUCCAUCAUCUUUGUAUAAAAUCUGACGAACACACAUAUACUCAUAUUUCUUCUGAUGUAUGGCUCGGCUCUUCCCUCCAGCAGCACCUAAACGCUCUAUUCUUCUUCAAAUGUGGAUGCAUGCAUGAAUUCUUCAUCUCUCUUCUUUAUCUUUCUGGUGUCUUUCUUUCUCUCAGGCUCUCUCCUCCAGUGUCUAUGUCUUUCUCUCAGAGCUGUGCUUUGAGCAGCGUGACCCACAACUAUUUAUAGGAGGCGAGCGCCCGUGCAAGUCUAAAAUAU